GCCGGAGUGGCGGAACUGGCAGACGCACGGGACUCAAAAUCCCGCGAGGUCCUCCUCUUGAGGGUUCGACCCCCUCCUCCGGUA
RNAcentral lists this transfer RNA (84 nucleotides) under Myxococcales bacterium. RNAcentral's name for it is "tRNA-Leu". It matches the Rfam family "tRNA". Rfam says of the family: Transfer RNA (tRNA) molecules are approximately 80 nucleotides in length. Their secondary structure includes four short double-helical elements and three loops (D, anti-codon, and T loops). Lineage: Bacteria; Pseudomonadati; Myxococcota; Myxococcia; Myxococcales. The record is from RNAcentral.